CUUCUUCUCAGGCAUGCUUCGGA
This 23-nucleotide non-coding RNA is filed under the name Cricetulus griseus (Chinese hamster). Lineage: Eukaryota; Metazoa; Chordata; Mammalia; Rodentia; Cricetidae. The record is from RNAcentral.